RNAcentral lists this long non-coding RNA (3344 nucleotides) under Aplysia californica (California sea hare). RNAcentral describes it as "uncharacterized LOC106012810". The stretch from base 880 to 1071 matches the Rfam family "U2 spliceosomal RNA". Lineage: Eukaryota; Metazoa; Mollusca; Gastropoda; Aplysiida; Aplysiidae. The record is from RNAcentral.
AAUAGCACAAUAAUGGUAGAAUCUAGUCAUGAAAAUAAUAUUGAUAAUGAGGAGGAUAAUAAUGAUGAUAGCAGUUUAUUUCAAAAACAGUAAAAGGUGAAAACAUAAACAGUGAAAGAAAUGGAAUACGAAGAAAAUCAGAAAUAAAACUUGUUUAUUGUGUUUCUGUACAACAACCAACUUCUCAUCGGUUUAUCCAGUCUGUUUGGUUUUUUACCGUAAACAUGUUUCAAUUUGCCUUUAUUAGGUCAGCACCACAAGAAAAACGUAACCGAAACAGAAAGAAAAAAAAAUUGAAAAAAAAGAAAGAAAAAAAAAUAAGAAGACAAAAAUAAUAAUAAAUUUAAAAAUUUUUAAAACACCACAACAAGAAAAAAGAGGAAAAAAGGCAAGCAAAAAACACAAACAGAAACAACGACAACAGCAAGCAACCAAAGGAUAACCAAAAAAUCAACAAGAAACAAACAAUCGCCACUGUGAGCCACGAGCACGUUUUGGGAUAAAAAAGGAUGACCGACUCAGCCGACUGCGACUCGUUUGUGGUCGAAGGGAGGCAAACAAAUGCCUGGCGAGGAGCAGCGACGACGAGCGCAAUAGCGGCCCUUCACUUUUUUUCCACGAGGGUCGCCCCCCUUCCCGUAGACACGCAAUAGGUGUGAGAGGGUGAAAAUAGUGGCAUUUUCCCUCGAAAACGUGAACCACAAAGGGUACGCAGUGAACACCGGCCCUAGGUGCAAUGACGCAACCCAGCAAAACGGCUGGUCCAGACUGGGAUCGAAUUAUCCAACGGCCGUGUUACGUGGAGCAUGCUAAUAGUGCGGGGCUGGUGAGAAAAGCAGUUGCAGCGCGCUGGUGAGGAAACUUCGCCCAUUUCUCGGCAUCGCUUCUCGGCCUUUUGGCUAAGAUCAAAGUGUAGUAUCUGUUCUUAUCAGCUUAAUAUCUGAUACGUGGCUUCCUAGCCACUACGAUAUUAAACUGAUUUUUGGACACAGGCGAGAUGCCCGGGGCUUGCUCCGCUCUCGCCACGGGUCGGCCCGGUAUUGCAGUCCCUCCGGGAAUGGCCCAAUAUAAGCAAACAAUGUACGAAUGGUUCUCCAAACAAACAGACAAACAAAUCACACACAAGCGCAAAUGUACACAUGAUGUAGAUCUAGAUGUACAACAAUUGUCGCAUGUGUAGCUGCCCGCUCGCUUCAGUGUGUUGUUUAGAUCUAGUAAGCGCACGUGCGAAAACUGAGUAGAGCUCACUCAGCCUGUUCGCCUCACAAUCGAGUGUGCUGUUUCCCCCUUUCAAUUUCCAUUUUACGCCGGGCAGUCAGAGCAAGCGGAGGUCGAGGAGAUCAGAGGGACAAGAAAAUGUGCCUGCUCCCUGUCACGAUGUCAACGUUUCAUUCAUUCAUUCUGUUUUCCAGUAGCAGCAAACAAACAGUAGCAGCAGCAGUAGCAGCAGUAGCAGCAGUAGCAGGUAAGAUCGCGUUAUUGUAAUAGCCUCCCCUGGGGCCGCUUUUUCUUUAUGUGGAAAUAGCAUUUAGAGUUGUGUCCCUUGUCGUAGCGGUGUUGAGAUUUACGUUUCGCCUGCGUUGACUCAAAAAGCACUAUUUUGUCCCACCGGGCGUGUCGCAGCAGCAGUUGUAAACUCACAUCCUGCUUAAGACGUAAAGGACGUCGUGACAAAUUACUUGCUAUGAUUUGGAUAGUGAUUGAAUUGCGUAACAUGGAGAUGAAACCAAGAUCACUACGAGAACGCAGGCGGUGCAGGAUUGCAAAUGAAGACACGUAGCAAACCAUACUUACCUGGCACGGGAGGCACCAUGAUCACGACGGCGGUCCUCCCAGGGCGAGGCCUUUCCAUUGCACUCCGGUUUGGCUGACCCCUGCGAUCACCUCAAAUGCGGGUGACUCGAGUGCGUAAUUUUUACGUAGGGGGGACUGCGUUCGCGCUAUCCCCUGUCAUAAUAACCAUUCAAUGAAAGUUCAGGAAAGGAAGUACAGCACACACAAACACACUUGUACAAGCACAACACGCAGAAACAAACACAGCUCACACAGACACACAAACACACAAACACGCAAACACAGCACACAGAAACAAUAACAGAACGAGCCCGGUGGCCGUAGGCCAGAUUCUAGAUCUACUACUACUACUGUUUGUUCGUCGACAGCGUACUUGGGAUCAUUUCAUUUGAUCCCUUCUGAUCGCCGUUUGAUCUCAAGGACGGCGGUCGUUCUUCUAGCAACAGAUUUCACACCUAUGUGCCAUGUCUCGGAGGUCCGCGAUCUGAGCUGAGCGCACCCUUUGUUGGGAAAUGAAAAUUAAGAUUCCCACUUGGAGAUCUAGACAGAUCAAAGAGGUGGUUGGCAAACAUGAGGAGGGAAGGAUUUUCAGCCCACCAGGAAUACAGUGAUUUGCUCUGCUCACUUCGAUGACAAGUGUUUUGACAGAACAGACUGUUGGAUUGAGACCUGAUGCUGCGCCCACCCUGUUUGAUUUUCCACCCGAUCUCCAGAAGACACCUGUACUGUAAAGCCAAGGCGUCAUGCUGAACGCAGAACCGUGGCUCAGCCAGAAACUACUUCCAGUGCUGAUCAAGAGGAGGCUGGAGAGAGUGUGGGUCCAUCUUCAGUGACGACCACAGUUAUGCGACUGUAUGUUGUAUGUGCUCAUUUUGUAACGAUGUGUAAGCGUGCGUGUGUGAUAUAAGCAAGUAGACGUUGGUGUGUGUGUGUCGCGUGCGUGAAUAUUGUUCAUACAUGCAUUUAUACGUGCUGAAAAACUUGGCGAUACUCGCUGUGGUUCUCAUUGUGUGUGUGUGGCGUGCGUGAAUAUUGUUCGUUCAUGCAUUUAUGUAAGCGCCUAGAGCUGUGUUUACACGGGUGUGGGCGUUCUAGAAAUGAUCUUCAUUAUUAUUAUUAUCUUAAUAUAUAUAUUUAUAUGUAUGGUGUGUUUCACUCUAUUUCUGAUUGUGUGUGUGUGUCACCCCAAGCAAAGCCGGGUGCUCAGCUAGUUUUAUUUAAAUGUAUGUGUAUGUGCUCAUUUUGUAACGAUGUGUUAGUGUGCACGUGUGAUAAGCUAAUAGAUGUGUGUGUGUGUGUGUCGUGUUUGUGAAUAUUGUUCGUACAUGCAUUUAUGCGUGCUGAAAAGCUUGGCGAUACUCGCUGUGGUUCAAUUGAUUGUUAUUUUGUGCAUACCUUCUACAUCAUACUUGUUAUGUUGCUCAUGAUCUCAUUGUGUGGGUGGGUGUGGCUGUGUGUGUGUGAGUGUGUGUCGCGUGCUUGAAUAUUGUUCGUACAUGCAUUGUGACCAUUGUCUUUCUGAAUAAAAAUCUGCUGAAGAUGACAAAGAG